UUAUAUUUAAUGUAGGGAUUUGCAUGUUAAAUUUUGAUUUUAAUAGUAUUAGUAAAAUUAAUAAUAUAAA
Molecule: transfer RNA, 70 nt
Filed under: Bombus kashmirensis
Lineage: Eukaryota; Metazoa; Arthropoda; Insecta; Hymenoptera; Apidae
Description: tRNA-Gln
Source: RNAcentral